This 426-nucleotide ribosomal RNA is filed under the name Triticum aestivum (bread wheat). Its description in RNAcentral is "partial small subunit ribosomal RNA". The record is from RNAcentral. Lineage: Eukaryota; Viridiplantae; Streptophyta; Magnoliopsida; Poales; Poaceae.
AUGUCUGGCACCAAUGUGGAGUUGGUGUAUUGGAAUGUGAGAGGCCUCAAUAGCCCGGCCAAGAAGAAGGCCCUUAGAGAAUUUGUAGAUUCUAUCAAUGCCGCUAUCAUUUGUAUCCAGGAGACAAAACUUGCUGUGGUGGACCGCUUUACUAUUCUGCAAUGUCUUGGUCCGGCGUAUGAUGGUUUUGCCUAUCUCCCUGCCAAUGUGACACGUGGAGGUAUAUUGUUGGCAUGGAACUCGACUCUAGUCCAGGUGUCCAACCUGGUCAAUGACUCGAAUUUCAUCAUGGGCUAUGUUGCCCCUCUAAUGGGAUCGCCCUGGUGGCUAUCUGUUGUGUAUGGCCACAGGAGGACACAGAGAAAAUUGCUUUCCUGGACGAAUUGGUGGAAAGGCGCGCUCUAUGCCGUGGCCCUUGGAUGGUGA